GACGAACGCUGGCGGCGUGCCUAAUACAUGCAAGUCGAACGCAUUUUCUUUCACCGUAGCUUGCUACACCGAAAGAAAGUGAGUGGCGAACGGGUGAGUAACACGUGGGUAACCUGCCCAUCAUCGGGGGAUAACACUUGGAAACAGGUUCUAAUACCGCAUAAUUCCAUUUACCGCAUGGUAGAUGGAUGAAAGGCGCUUUUGCGUCACUGAUGGAUGGACCCGCGGUGCAUGAGCUAGUUGGUGGGGUAACGGCCUACCAAGGCUGCGAUGCAUAGCCGACAUGAGAUGGUGAGCGGCCACACUGGGACGGAGACACGGCCCAGAAUCCUACGGGAGGGAGCAGUAGGGAUUCUUCGGCAAGGGAUGCAAUACUGAGCGAGCAACGCCGCGUGAGUGAAGAAGGUUUUCGGAUUGUAAAACUCUGUUGUUAGAGAAGAACAAGGAUGAGCGUGGAAAGUUCAUCCCUUGACGGUAUCUAAUCAGAAAGCCACGGCUAACUACGUG
This 507-nucleotide ribosomal RNA is filed under the name uncultured bacterium. RNAcentral describes it as "partial 16S ribosomal RNA". It matches the Rfam family "Bacterial small subunit ribosomal RNA", at positions 28 to 507 of the family's 1533-position model. The record is from RNAcentral.